This 216-nucleotide unclassified non-coding RNA is filed under the name uncultured Mycena. RNAcentral describes it as "sequence contains ITS2". Lineage: Eukaryota; Fungi; Basidiomycota; Agaricomycetes; Agaricales; Tricholomataceae. The record is from RNAcentral.
AAUUAUCAACCUUGCUCGCUUUUACCGGCUUGAGUUAGGCUUGGAUGUGGGGGUUUUUGCUGGCUUCCUUCAGUGGAUGGUCUGCUCCCCUUAAAUGCAUUAGCGGGAUCUCUUGUGGACCGUCACUUGGUGUGAUAAUUAUCUACGCCACGUUGACUAUGAAGCAAAACUUAUGGGAAUCCGCUCAUAACCGUCCCUUGUGGACAACUCUUGACA